This 246-nucleotide ribosomal RNA is filed under the name uncultured bacterium. RNAcentral describes it as "partial 16S ribosomal RNA". It matches the Rfam family "Bacterial small subunit ribosomal RNA", at positions 796 to 1041 of the family's 1533-position model. The record is from RNAcentral.
CACGCCGUAAACGAUGAGUACUAGGUGUUAGUAGUUCGAUCCUACUAGUGCCGUAGCUAACGCGUUAAGUACUCCGCCUGAGGACUACGGUCGCAAGAUUAAAACUCAAAGGAAUAGACGGGGACCCACACAAGCGGUGGAGCAUGUUGUUUAAUUCGACGACAAACGGAGAACCUUACCCAGGCUUGACAUCCAGAGAACCUGCUAGAAAUAGCGGGGUGCCGCAAGGAGCUCUGAGACAAGCGC